This 1892-nucleotide long non-coding RNA is filed under the name Salmo salar (Atlantic salmon). Its description in RNAcentral is "lncRNA (ENSSSAG00000107030.1)". The record is from RNAcentral. Lineage: Eukaryota; Metazoa; Chordata; Actinopteri; Salmoniformes; Salmonidae.
AAAUGUAGAUGCAACAAUAAUCCUUAUUUUCUACCUUUUUGUGCCAAUUUCGAUUUAAAUUGAGGGAACAUAGGGCUCAUGGAGCAUAGGGUUGAUAGAACAUAGAGAUGUGGGACCAUAGGGCUGAAGGAAGAUAGGUUGAGGGAACAUAGGGUUGAGGGAACAUAGGGCUGAGGGAACAUAGGGCUGAAGGAAGAUAGGUUGAGGGAACAUAGGGUUAAGGGAACAUAGGGCUGUGGGAACAUAGGGCAGAAAUAAGAUAGGUUGAGGGAACAUAGGGCUGAGGGAACAUAGGGUUGAGGGAACAUAGGGCUAAAGGACGAUAGGUUGAGGGAAAAUAGGGUUGAGGGAUCAUAGGGCAGAAGGAAUAUAGGCUGAGGGAACAUAGGGUUGAGGGAACAUAGGGUUGAGGGAAGUAAGGUUGAGGAAAAAGUGCUGAGGUAACAUAGGGCUGAAGGAAGAUAGGUUGAGUGAACAUAGGGCUGAGAGAACAUAGGACUGAGAGAACAUAGGGCUGAGGCAACAUAGCACUGAAGGAUUGAGGGAACAUAGGGUUGAGGGAAGUAAGGUUGAGGAAAAAGUGCUGAGGUAACAUAGGGCUGAAGGAAGAUAGGUUGAGUGAACAUAGGGCUGAAGGAAGAUUGGUAGAGGGAGCAUAGGCUGAGGGAACAUAGGUCUGAAGGAAGAUAGGUUUAGGGAACAUAGGGCUGCGGGAACAUAGGGUUGAGGGAACAUAGGGCCGAGGAAGAUAGGUUGAGGGAUCAUAGGGCUGAGGGAACAUAGGUUUGAGAGAACAUAGGGCUGAGGGAACAUAGGGCUGAAGGAAGAUAGGUUGAGGGAACAUAGGGUUGAGGGAACAUAGGGCUGAGGGAACAUAUGGCUGAAGGAACAUAGGGCUGAAGGAAGAUAGGUUGAGGGAACAUAGGGCUGAAGGAACAUAGGGUUGAGGGAACAUAGGGCUGAGGGAACAUAGGGUUGAGGGAACAUAGGGCUGAGGGAACAUGGGGCUGAAGGAAGAUAGGUUGAGGGAACAUAGGGCUGAGGGAACAUAGGGCUGAAGGAAGAUAGGUUGAGGGAACAUAGGGCUGAAGGAAGAUAGGUUGAGGGAACAUAGGGCUGAAGGAAGAUAGGUUGAGGGAACAUAGGGCUGAGGGAACAUAGGGUUGAGGGAACAUAGGGCUGAGGGAACAUGGGGCUGAAGGAAGAUAGGUUGAGGGAACAUAGGGCUGAGGGAACAUGGGGCUGAAGGAAGAUAGGUUGAGGGAACAUAGGGUUGAGGGAACAUACGGCUGAAGGAAGAUAGGUUGAGGGAACAUAGGGUUGAGGGAACAUACGGCUGAAGGAAGAUAGGUUGAGGGAACCCCCACACACACACACUGUGAAGUCAAUCUGCAGCUUUCCUUCUUUUACUGUGCCACAGGCCCACAGCUACCUGUUUCACGGCCUCAUCAGAAGGAGGUGAUGACAGGACUUAGAUGGGGAUAGGACGGGGGGGACGGACAGAUGGACGGGGGGAGACAAAAAAAUAUCACAGAAUCAAAGACAGACACUGAUGAUCUCUUUCGUAUCCAGAACACUCUUGCAGAGCACAGUGUAAAGUUGCAGCGACUACUUUCAGAUCCCAUUAACUAGCCACCAAGAUCACUGACAAGACAAAUUAAAUAACAUCAGCCCAUGUUAUCGCCCACUGUGACACCCAUUGUUUUUGUGCAGCCUAAUUUGGAGAAUAAGUUCACAAUAUUCUGCUUCAUUUGUAACAUGUUGAAAAAACGAGUAAUUUCCCCGGCCUGCCCUCAGUCUCCCCCUCAGGCCUGGGACCUGUGGUUUGCUGGGGGUGAAGAAUGACACCACGGGAUGGGGGGAAGUGGGGUGCCGACCCGUCAACAGAGCUG